GGAUCAAUGUUUCGGUCAUGCCGUUGGUAUGUACUGAUAUUAUUGAUUUCUCACCUUCUAAAGAACCGUAAUGCCAUUAAUUUGGUGUCACGGAUGAUGGACUGUUACCUUGAAAAAAUUAGAGUGUUUAAAGCAGGCUCACGCUUGAAUACAUUAGCAUGGAAUAAUGAAAUAGGACAUCCGAUUCUAUUUUGUUGGUUUCUAGGAUCGAUGUAAUGAUUAAUAGGGAUAGUUGGCGU
Molecule: ribosomal RNA, 239 nt
Filed under: uncultured Glomeromycotina
Lineage: Eukaryota; Fungi; Glomeromycota
Description: partial 18S ribosomal RNA
Rfam family: Eukaryotic small subunit ribosomal RNA
Source: RNAcentral